CGGGUACCUGACAUACAGUAGGUACUAUAUAAAGACAUUAUUUGAACCACUUCUUUGAGAAAACCUCAGUUGAACGCAUUUAUGGAAGUGUGACAACGAAUUACAAGUGGAACAACACAUAGAACUGACUGUUUUUUUCACUAUUUCACAGAACUGGGAUGGCCGAGGAUUUGAUAAUGGAGAUCAGAAUGUUAAGGAAGUCAAUGAGAAGAAAGCCUUGAAGAGUUCCCUGACAAGUUAGAAAGUUCAAGAACUGGAGGCAGAACUGGGCCCUGAGGCUUUAAGCUGCCUCUUAACAUUUCCCACGAACAACAUUUGGACUCCACUGAUUCUGUGGAGAAAGACUCUUAUUGGACAGCUCUCCUUUUUGAGCAAGCUUUUCAAUCUAUAAACUGGCUGCCAGUGGAUGAAGUACCCUCUCCCUCCCCCUGUCCAAUGUGUGAGGCCAGAGGUGAAGCAGGAUCAUCUGUACUGUACGUGGUGCUAAAGACUGCUCACUAGUAGGUAUUGUGUUGUGAGCUAAGUGACUCUCUAUAUGAUACUUUUGAACAUUUAUGGAAAAAUAAGGAAUAUAAUGAUGCCAGUUGGUUGCUCCUAAUGUUACUGGAUAUGUGGUGGAAAAAAAAGAAAUGAGUUCAGUUCAGGGAGUUGAAUUCCCAGGUGAAGAAUCACAAAUGACCUAAGAGCUUCCAGGUGUGCCCCGAAGGACAACCUUAUCUCCAAUAGUUACAGGGCUGAAAAUGCUGAAAGCUGAUUGCAGAACCUCAUCUGAUGAUUUGCUAAAUUACAGCACAAGUUGAAAUCCCAGCCUCCCAGGGUGUCUACUGUUAAAGUGAGGGCAUUGAUUGGGAAAGAAUGGGAUCCUGUAAUUUGAGAUAGGGCCAUGUGGGAAGACCCUGAUGAACCUGGAGAUACUGAGCCCCUAAAUUCUGAUGAAUCUUCUUUGCCAGAGGGAAAUAUCUCCCCAGCCCCAGUAGAAGAGGCCUCCCCAGCCCUACUGACAGCAGCCUCCCCAGUGUCAGUAGUAUUGGCCUGUCUACCUCUGUCUGAGGGGUUUAACCCUGCAUUGCUUGAGGAAAUGGUAAUGGCCUCCCCUGAGAGAACUGCCAUGCAAGACAAUUCUGAUUCUCCACAGGACUCACCAUGACCACCCUUCUUUGCUUCUAGACCUAUGACUGGACUCAAGUCCCAGCAGGGCUCUAAAGGUGAGGUACAAAGUAUGACCCAUAACAGGGUGCACUGAAUUCCAAAAGAACUACUUGGGGUUAUUAGUUCAUACAAGCAGAAAUCCAGGAAACGUGUGGGAAUUAUGGAUGUGGAACAUGUGUGGGAAUUAAGGGUGUGGAACAAUGGUAGAAGGAACAUAAAAUUGGAUCAGGCUGAAUUUAUUGAUAUGGGCUCAGUAAGCAGAGAUUCUGCAUUCAGUGUUGUGGCUUGGCAGAAAGGGCUCUAACUGGUUGGGUGAAGCAAAGAUGAAACGAUGGUCCACCAUAAAUGAAUUGGAAAUGCCUGACUUCCCUUAGUUUAAUAGAGAGGAAGAAAUUCAAAGGCUUAAGGAGAUUGGAAGAUUGGAGUGGAUUUGUCAUUUACCUUACUCACCUAUGCUGGAAGGGUCCAGAAGACAUACCUUUCACCAGUACUUUGAGAAAUACUUUGAAUAAAUAAAUAAAUAAAUGUCAAGGGGAUACCCAGCAUCUUUGUCGAGCUUUGUGGUUGCUCUUUUUUGUAGGCCCCACCUUACAAUGGGAACCACAGUCAUUCGAUUGGAAAACCUAAAUGCAAUGGGAAUAAUUAGAUCCCAGAAUAUGGCAGGAGUCAAGUGGUGGCAGUGGCACUUAACCACCAAAAGCAAAGUGGGCAUGGUUAUUAUAAUGAACAGCAGAGUCAAAGCAGCAACCAGAAUAGUCUGACUCCAGGAGACGUAUGGUGUUGGCUAGUUAAUCAUGAUGUUUCUCAAAGUGAAAUAGAUAGGAAGCCUACUAAAUUCUUAAUUGAUCUGUAUAAGCAGAACAUUUCUAGGCCAAAAAACAAAAGUCUAACUCAAAUCAUAAAAACAGAGAGAUGUGGCCCCUCAAUCAAUUCCCAGAUGAGCCAGUUUACAGACCUGGAACCCCAUGAGUGAAGGGGAGAUUAGGUCCCCUGGAAGAACCACGGCAUAAUACUAAAAAUUUAUACUGUUAAAUCUUUCUCCUAUCCUUCUUCAAAGGGACCUAUGGCCUUUUACAAGGAUAAUUGUACACUGAGGAAAAGCAAAUAAUCAGACCUUUUGGGUCUACUGGACACUGGCUUUGUCUAUCCACUGAUUACAGGAGACCUAAAACAUCACAGUGGUCUUCUCAUUAGAGUAGGGGCUUGUGGAAGUCAGAUGAUCAAUAAAAUUUUAGCUCAGAUUUGUCUUACAGUGAGUCCAAUGGGUCCUUGAACCUAUCCUGUGUUUUUUUUUUUUUCUCCAGUUCUGGAAUGCAUAAUUAAAAUAGACAUAUUUAGCAGCAGGCAGAAUUCCUCCAUUCAUUCCCCGACCUGUGAAGUGAGGGCUAUUUGAUAGAAAAGGCCAAAUUGAAGUCAUUAGAACUACCUAUACUUAGAAAAAUAGCAAAUCAGAAGCAAUUCUACAUGCAGAAAUUAGUGCUACUGUCAGAAACUUAAAAGAUGCAGGCAUGGUGAUUUCCACCAUAUCUCCAUUCAACUAUCCUGUUUGGCCUAUGAUAGACAGGUCUUGGAGAAAGACAGUGGAUUAUCAUAAACCUAACCAAGUGAUGACUCCAGUUGCAGAUUCUGUACCAGAUAGGAUUCCAUUUAUUGAGAAAAUCAACUAUCUCCUGGCACUGAUAUGCAGCUAUUGAUCUGGGAAAUGGCUUUUUCGUCAUCCCUGUCCGUGGGGACCAGCAGAAGGGACCAGCAGAAGCAGUUUGCUUUUAGUUGGCAAGGCCAGCAACAUACUUUCACUCUCCUACCUCAAGGGUAUGUCAACUCUACAGUUCUAUGUCAUAAUUUAGUUUUCAUGGAUCUUGAUCACCUUUCGCUCCCACAAGAUAUCACUCUGGCCCAUUACAUUAAUCACAUUUUGCUGAUUGGACCUGGUGAAUGAGAAUUAGCAACCACUCUAGACUUAUUGAUAAGACCUUUAAGUGUCAGAAGUUGGGAAAUAAAUCUGACAAAAAUUCGAGGGCUUUCUAAUUCAAUGCAAUUUCUAUGUGUCCAAUGGUGUGGGGCAUAUGGAGAUAUCCCUUCUAAGGUAAAGGUUAAAUUGUUGCAUCUGGCACCACCGGCAACCAAGGAAGAAACACAGCACGUAUUGGGCCUCUCUGGAUUUUGGAGGCAACAUAUUCCACAUUUGGGUGUGUUUUGCUGAGCCAUUUACAAAACGACCUGAAAAGCUUCUAGUUUUGACUGCAGCCUAGAACAAAGCAAGGCUCUGCAAUAGGUCCAGGUUACUGUGCAAGCUGCUCUGUUACUUGAGUCAUAAGAUUUAACGUAUCCAAUAGUGCUUGAUAUAUUAGUGGUGAACUGAGAUUCUGUUUGAAGCAUUUGGCAGGUCCAUAUAAGUGUAUUGGAGUGCAGGCCUUUAGGAUUUUGGAGGAAGUCCCUGCCAUCUUCUGCAAAUAACUACUUUUUUUUUUCUUGAGAGACAGUUCUUGGCCUGCUACUGGGCAUCAGUAGAAACUGAAUGUUCAACCAUGUGGCACCAAGUUACCAUGUGACCUGAGCUGCCCAUAAUAAACUGGGUGUUAUCUGAUCACCAAGCCAUAAAGUUAGGCAUGCACGCAGCACUUCGUCAUCAAUGGAAGUGGUAUGUAUGUGAUCCAGCUCUAACAGUCUCUGAAGGCAUAAGUACCUUACACAAAGAAGUUGCCCAAUUGCCCAUGGUCCUCCCUUCUGCUACACUGCUUUCUCUCUCCCAGACUGUACCUAUGGCUUCAUGGAGAGUUCCCCAUGAUCAUUUGGCAGAGGAACAGAAGAAUUAGGCCUGGUUUACAGAUGUUUCUGCAUGAUAUGCAGCACCACCCAGAAGUGGACAGCUGUAGCACUACAACCACUCUCUGGGACAUCCCUGAAGGACAGUCAUGAAGGGAGCUCCUCACAGUGGACAAAAAUUCGGGCAGUGCACCUGGUUGUUCCCUUUGCUUAGAGGGAGAAAUGGCAAGAUAUGUGAUUAAAUACUAAUGUAUAGGCUGUAGCCAAUGGUGGUUUGGCCGGAUGGUCAGGAACUUGGAAGGAACUUAAUUGGAAAAUUGGUGACAAAUAAAUUUAGGAGAGAGAAAUGUGGAUAGAUGUCUCCAAAUCAGCAAAACUUGUGAAGAUAUUUAUGUUUCAUGUGAACGAUCACCAAAAGGUGACCACAGCAGAGGAGAACUUUAAUAAUCAAGUAGAUAUGAUGACCCUUUCUGUGAAUGCUACUCAGCCUCUUUCCCCAGCCACUCCUGUCAUUGCCCAAUGGGUUCAUGACCAAAGUGUCCGUGGUGGCAGACAUGGAGGUUAUUCACAGGAUCAGAAACAUGGACUUUCACUCACCAAGGCUGACCUAGCUAUGGCCACUGCUAAAGGUCCAAUCUGCCAGUAGCAGAGACUAACACUGAACCUCCAACGUGGCACCAUCCCUAGGUGAUCAGCCAGCUACCUGGAGUCAUGUUUAUUACAUUGGCCUGCUGCCAUUAUGAAAGGGGCAGUGUUUUGUUCAGGAAUAGAUACUUCUGUUUGCCUUCCGUGUACACAGUGCUUUUGCCAAAACUACCAUCUGUGGACUUGCAGAAUGCUUUAUCCACCAUCAUGGCAUUCCACACAGCAUUGCGUGUGAUUAAGGAACUCACUCCACAGCAAAAGAAGUGCAGCAAUAAAUGCACGCUUAUGUAAUUCACUGGUUUAACCAUGUUCCCCACUAUUCUGAAGCAGAUGGCUUGAUAAAAUGCUGCAAUACCUUUGUGAAGAGUCAGUUAUAGUGCCAGUUAGGUGGCAGUACCUUGAGUGCUGGGACAAGGUUCUCUGUGCCCUAAGUCAGUGUCCAAUAUUUGGUGUUGUCUCUUCCAUAGACUGGAUUCAUGGGUUGAAGAAUCAAAGGGUGGAAAUGGAAGUGGAACCACUCACCAUUACCCUUAGUGACCAGCUAGCAAAAUUUUUGCUUCCCAUUCCUAUGACUUUAUAUUCUGCCGGCCUAAAGGUCUCUAGCUGUGAGGGAGAAAUGCUUUCACCAGGAGACAUAAUGAUGCUUCCAUUGAACUGAAAGUUAAGACUGCUGCCCAGUCAGUUUGGGCUCCUUCUGGUUUUGAGUCAACAGGUAAAGAAUGGAAGUAUGGUAUUGACUGAGGUGAUUGAUUCAGACCACCAAGAGGAAUUGGACUAUUAUUCCAUAAUGGAGAUGGAGAAGAGUAUGUCCAGAAAACAGGAGAUCCUUCAGGUAUGUUUUAGUGUCACCAUGCGCUGUGAUUAUGGUCAAUAUAAAACUAUAACAACUCAAUGACCAGGACUCAAGGUCUACUAAUGACCAGGCCCUUCAGCUUUGGAUCACCCUGCCAGGUGAAAAACCAUGACCAGCUGAGGUGUUUGCUGAAGGCAAAGGGAAUACAGAAUGAAUAGUAGAAGAAGGUAUUUAUAAAUACCAGCUAAGAAUAAGUGACCAGUUACAGAAAUGAGGGCUAUAACUGCCAUGAGUGUUUUCUCCUUGUUUUGUAGUGAAUAUAUUUGUGUGGAUAUAUAUGUAUAUAUAUAUUAUAU
Molecule: long non-coding RNA, 5709 nt
Organism: Nomascus leucogenys (northern white-cheeked gibbon)
Lineage: Eukaryota; Metazoa; Chordata; Mammalia; Primates; Hylobatidae
Exons: 4
Source: RefSeq, a predicted model, not a curated record